AUAAUGAUACUUCCGUAAUUCGCGGCCCGGUCACAAAGCAGACGGGGCGGCUGAAAUGCAAAUGA
RNAcentral lists this non-coding RNA (65 nucleotides) under unclassified sequences. RNAcentral describes it as "pemK RNA". It matches the Rfam family "pemK RNA". The record is from RNAcentral.